CCUUCUCGUGCAUAUUGCCCUCCUUUGUUUUCUGUUAGAGACAAAAUGUCAGAAUUUUAGAUGGUGGUUUUUGUGAUCAUGGCAAGAGUUAAGGAAAUUUUGGUGGAUCCAGUGAUGACUGAUUGGAGCUUCUUCAGCCUGAGUUUCCACAUUUCAUCUUUGGUUGUCUUUUGUUUCAUGAGACCACACCAUAAACUCAUACCAGGAACGAGGAAACACAUCUCUGAGAGCCACUGAACUAUCACACAUAUAUGCUGGCUACUAAACAGGGCGAAUAAAUGGCACUGAAAACACAGAGCUAGGUUGUCCAGGAAUCCAAGGACAUGUACACUAACUUCAGACUGAGAAACUGCAAGUGCUUGAGAUCAUGACAUCAAGAGGAGAAGAAAGAGAAAAGGAGGGCAUAGUGAGCAGAAGGCUCCAUAUUACCAUCCUAAAAAUGAAGAUCAUUCUUAGGUCUCAGGCUGCCUGUAGGUCUAACAUUGAAACCAGCAGUGUCUGUACUUAUACUUUCCAUAGAUCUGCAUCACUUCUGGUAGUAUUUCAGUUUCCUUUAUUCACUAAAACAGCCCAGAAAAGCCAAAGCAUUGUUGCGUGGGUGCUGUUCCCAUCCUGGCUCAAUGCACAGAACUCUUCCAGCCAAGAUGGGCUUUGUGCUGCCACUGAUGGUUCUGGUCAGGGGGAGACAGGGCUGAGAGUGAAAGCUGUGCUCCAGGCUAAGAACACCACAGGAGCCCCAAGAGUGCUGUGUUCUUGGACGCCCUUUGAAAUUACCCUCUGAUGGUACUUCUGGGACCCCGUCUCUUUGCUAACCAAUCGGAUAACCUUUUAAGGAACAAUUACCAUAUUUUGUCAUGGGAGCUUUGCUUGAGUAUGCAGCUCCCUGCACCUGUGUUUUCUAUAGCUUUACUAUAACUGGGUAAGCAAAUAGCAUCCAGGGGUGAGACCUUUCCUCGUAGCCUGUGGCUACAUGACCUGGCUGCGUGACCUGAGCCUUACCCUUCAGCUCCUUACUCACGGUUAUGCUGUGACACCAAUAAGAUUUAUGCUUUUGGGGGUCAACACUGCAAAUCACUAUAUUCUCAUGACAUCACAUGCAAGCUGCCCGGUAGAAGGACACAUAGGACUAGUCACUAUUCACAGUAGGAGAGCUUAUCUCUGAGAUGUUAAAAAACAAAACAGUCCUUCACCAUGUUCUGAGCAGUUUAGGUAGAUGGUUUCCACUGCUCCCAAGUCAUGGAUCUGUCUGUAUGUCAGGACACUCAAGGACCUUGGAGUUCACGGGACUGAGGAGGACCUGAAGUUGAUAGAACCUUGCACUGGUGGCCAUGGCAUCUCUUGUGCUUCCUAAUACCCCAGAGAAGAAAGACUACAGCCAGGAGAAAUACAGAAAGAAAUAAGCAAUAUCUAAGACGGGCACUCUCAGCUAAGGGAGGAGUAAAUUCUGAAAAUUUAUUUUCAUUUUUUAUGAUAAUAAGACAUUUCAUAAGAGAGACCUGACAUUGCCCACACAGGACUCCACUGUGCAGUCAUUUAGAAAUGCUACAGGAAAAUCAAGUUGUAUGAGUUGCCAUCAUUCAUAGCAUUCAUCCAUCCUCAGGCAUGCAAGAAGUAUAUUUUAGGCAAAGGAGUUCUCAUACUCCCUUUCUGGCCAUAAUAAACCCUAUUAUUCCAAUUCCACACUUUAGCUUCCACCUCCCUUCCCCCAGUUUCUACCCUUCUCAUGGCUUUGUCAACAUGAAAUUAUAAAGCUGCCUUUAGCAAACUUAGGAAAAAAUAUGGCAUGAAUUUUAUUACUAGAGCAGAAGACAAUACUUUGUUUUCACUGCUGUUUUGCUGUAUUAUCUAUUGCCCCAUACUGAGUCAACGGCAGGUGUAUAAACUGCACAAUUUUGAAGAGUAAAUACAACAGAAUACAUAAGGGCAAAGAUAUUUUGUACUGCAGUGUCAUUAGCAAAGUUUUCAUACUGGACCAAAAUAUAUCUGAGCCAAAGACCGAACAUAUCUGAAAUUCAUUCUCUGAAAAUCAGUUGGUAGAAAAAUGGAUUUUGUACAGCUGGAGAAAUUAGGAGAAAUAAAGUAGAUGGAAGAAUGAAAGAGAUACUGAAAAUUCUCCUCUUGAAUUUAUUAAAAG
This is a long non-coding RNA of Gallus gallus (chicken), 2134 nucleotides long. Lineage: Eukaryota; Metazoa; Chordata; Aves; Galliformes; Phasianidae. The record is from Ensembl.